Molecule: ribosomal RNA, 251 nt
Filed under: uncultured bacterium
Lineage: Bacteria
Description: partial 16S ribosomal RNA
Rfam family: Bacterial small subunit ribosomal RNA
Source: RNAcentral
ACGGAAGGUCCAGGCGUUAUCCGGAUUUAUUGGGUUUAAAGGGAGCGCAGGCGGACCUUUAAGUCAGCUGUGAAAUACGGCGGCUCAACCGUCGAACUGCAGUUGAUACUGGAGGUCUUGAGUGCACACAGGGGUACUGGAAUUCAUGGUGUAGCGGUGAAAUGCUCAGAUAUCAUGAAGAACUCCGAUCGCGAAGGCAGGUAUCCGGGGUGCAACUGACGCUGAGGCUCGAAAGUGCGGGUAUCAAACAG